RNAcentral lists this ribosomal RNA (373 nucleotides) under uncultured organism. Its description in RNAcentral is "partial 16S ribosomal RNA". It matches the Rfam family "Bacterial small subunit ribosomal RNA", at positions 527 to 896 of the family's 1533-position model. The record is from RNAcentral.
GUAGGUGGCAAGCGUUGUCCGGAAUUAUUGGGCGUAAAGCGCGCGCAGGCGGUCCUUUAAGUCUGAUGUGAAAGCCCACGGGCUCAACCGUGGAGGGUCAUUGGAAACUGGGGGACUUGAGUACAGAAGAGGAAAGCGGAAUUCCACGUGUAGCGGUGAAAUGCGUAGAGAUGUGGAGGAACACCAGUGGCGAAGGCGGCUUUCUGGUCUGUAACUGACGCUGAGGCGCGAAAGCGUGGGGAGCAAACAGGAUUAGAUACCCUUGUAGUCCACGCCGUAAACGAUGAGUGCUAAGUGUUAGGGGGUUUCCGCCCCUUAGUGCUGCAGCUAACGCAUUAAGCACUCCGCCUGGGGAGUACGGCCGCAAAGGCUG